Long non-coding RNA from Esox lucius (northern pike), 1591 nucleotides. The record is from Ensembl. NCBI's taxonomy places the organism in Eukaryota, Metazoa, Chordata, Actinopteri, Esociformes, Esocidae.
CGGAAAAUGAGCAUAGUUAACAUAGACGGGGAAAUGGGAGGUGCGGUCGAACGGGGUGCGUUCAUGUAUGUUUCAUGCAGGGCAGCACUUUACCUGGCUAAGUUAACCUCUCUCUGGGCUCGAAUUGCUGAAGAGCUAACUUAUGGACAGAUUCCUAGCAGGAUUGCUAGCUAUACAGUCAGUUACAGAUGACUAGCAAAAUGCGCUGGAGUUACGGAGACUGUGUUCUUCUCUCCUGGGCCUGUGUCUCGAACGCACACCCUCUGUCUGCAUUGCCAGAACCCACCAUGAACACAUCCCUGUCUUCAUAUUCAGGGCCUGACAGAACUAGGCUGGCAGAGGAGAGCUGCAGGUCUAGACAAGCCAGCAGAAUAGAACCCCAGAAACAUGGGAGAGGGCCUCAAACACACUUAGUGCUGGAGAUCACCCUAUGAAUGGCAGACAAGAUUGGGGACAGGUGGAGCUGAUUGGGUUGUUGAGAGGUUGCACCUGGGUUUGGGACCAACUAGAAGAUAAACGUUCCAGGUGGCCAGUCCUGGAUCGCUCUCUCCCACAAGGACCAAGGUCUGUUUUCCUUUAUUGUUUUAUACUUGGUUAUUUAAUUUAAAAAAUGUGUUACUUUUUUAAUGCCAACAUGUGGACUCACCAUCUGAGAGCCGGGUUGUGACAAAAUAUAACCUUCAACAUGCAUCCAACCCAUUUUCCUUUUAAUGAAGUGAUCACUGAUUUGGAUUGUAUUUAGAGUUUGUGUCGAUACUAUUCAUUAGAUCAACAUAUGCAUAUGUACUCGCUAUCUAAGUAUCAAUUUAUUUGACUAGUUAUUAUUGGUUAGAUCAGAGAUAUCAAACCGGUUUCAUGGAGGGCUGAGUGUCUGCUGGUUUUCGCUCUCACCUUGUACUUGAUUAAUUAAGUCACUAAUUGGUUAGUUUCUACCCUCACCUGGUUGUUUAGGUCUGAACUGGGAACCAAUUUAUAGGAAAAACCUGCAGACACUCUGCCCUCCAUGGAACCGUUUUGACACCCCUGGGUUAGAUUCUAACUGCAUUUAGUUGUAUUGGGCUUGUUCAAUGACAAAGUUGAAUCUAAUCUAUUCAAGCAGCAUAUUUCAAUUUCUGUAAGGGCAACAGUUAUAUUUUACCUCACUCAGGUGCAGGUAAUCCCCUGAGAAGUACAAGUAAAGUCCCAAAGCAUUGACAGUCUCACUAAUGUUUAACUAUUUCUGCUUGUUUAGAGGACAAAGUCAACCAUUGAAUUAAACUUAGUGUUAAGUCACAAAAUGAUUUCCAUAUCAACAAUUCCCCAGGUUUCACAUGCCCAUGCAAUACUGCUGAAACUAACAGUAAUUUAUUAUUUUCAAGUAAAAUGUAAGAAACUGGUAACUGACUGACCAUUCAUAAUUAUUCAGACCACCUAUUAAAGACCUCUAUAAGAAUCAUGUACAUUAGUCAUAAUUCAUGAAGCGACCAGUCUACACACCCACAACAACGGUUCUGUCGUGAUACAAACGGAUUAUGUAAAUAUAUUUAUUCAUCCAUGUUUUUAACACUUAUUUUCAUGUCUUCAACUUUUCUUUUAAUAAAGCAAAUAAGAA